CCUACGGGCGGCAGCAGUGAGGAAUAUUGGUCAAUGGACGAGAGUCUGAACCAGCCAAGUAGCGUGAAGGAUGACUGCCCUAUGGGUUGUAAACUUCUUUUAUAUGGGAAUAAAAUGUUCCACGUGUGGGAUUUUGUAUGUACCAUAUGAAUAAUGAUCGGCUAACUCCGUGCCAGCAGCCGCGGUAAUACGGAGGAUCCGAGCGUUAUCCGGAUUUAUUGGGUUUAAAGGGAGCGUAGGUGGAUUGUUAAGUCAGUUGUGAAAGUUUGCGGCUCAACCGUAAAAUUGCAGUUGAAACUGGCAGUCUUGAGUACAGUAGAGGUGGGCGGAAUUCGUGGUGUAGCGGUGAAAUGCUUAGAUAUCACGAAGAACUCCGAUUGCGAAGGCAGUUCACUGGACUGCAACUGACACUGAGGCUCGAAAGUGUGGGUAUCAAACAGGAUUAGAUACCCCAGUAGUC
Molecule: ribosomal RNA, 460 nt
Filed under: uncultured bacterium
Lineage: Bacteria
Description: partial 16S ribosomal RNA
Rfam family: Bacterial small subunit ribosomal RNA
Source: RNAcentral